UCCCUGGUGGUCUAGUGGUUAAGGACCUAGCAUUGUCACUGCUAUGGUACAGGUUUGACCCUGGUCCAGGAAC
This is a non-coding RNA of Sus scrofa (pig), 73 nucleotides long. The record is from Rfam. NCBI's taxonomy places the organism in Eukaryota, Metazoa, Chordata, Mammalia, Artiodactyla, Suidae.